GGUGUGUUGUGCUGUUGAUUGUACUAACCGACCGACAAAGGAUUCUGUGUUGCAGUUUUUUCGUUUCCCUCUAGGUGAUCCGGACAGGCUGGACAAGUGGGUCGUCAGCAUGAGGAGACAGAACUGGACCCUGCUCUCCAGCCCCAAUCCUCCCUGUGCUUUCAAUAAAAUCUGUAUUGUGCGUGAA
Long non-coding RNA from Scomber japonicus (chub mackerel), 187 nucleotides. RefSeq lists it as uncharacterized. The transcript has 2 exons. The record is from RefSeq and is a predicted model, not a curated record. NCBI's taxonomy places the organism in Eukaryota, Metazoa, Chordata, Actinopteri, Scombriformes, Scombridae.